Molecule: long non-coding RNA, 1224 nt
Organism: Gadus macrocephalus (Pacific cod)
Lineage: Eukaryota; Metazoa; Chordata; Actinopteri; Gadiformes; Gadidae
Exons: 3
Source: RefSeq, a predicted model, not a curated record
GUGCAAAAUAUAAGGUUGACAAUGGCCCAUUUAAAAGGCCAUUCGUCAGUGAAACACAAAGGUGCUUAUCUAAAAUAUUACACAAAUGAAUGAAUUUGUAUUUUACUAUAAGUAUGAAUCUUACUUCCUUUAUUCCUCCCUUACAGAGUUCACAAUAAUCAAGUGUGGAUUAAGUUGUCGGACGGCUACACAUUUCCAUUGUUGCUAUUGUGCAGCAACACUUAGAAAUCGAUUGCAAUUGGUAAGGCACCUACAAAUACACCAGGAGGAGGUGCAAGCUGCAGCCCCUUCAUAGCACUUUGUGGCCCCCGCUCAGCUCCCUGUGGCCCCCACUCAGCUCCCUGUGGCCCCCGCUCAGCUCCCUGUGGCCCCCACUCAGCUCCCAUUGGCUCCUGCAGAAUGUUCCACGGCCACUAAAGCAUCAAGUGAGCAAAAUAAAUUCUGUUGUCCUCAUUGCAAAUUGAUUUGAAACAAAAGAAACUUCAAAACACACUGCAGGAGAAAACACACCAACCUCCUUGAGACGAUAACGAAGGACCGAUUUUUGGACUGUCAGUGUAUCGAUGGUACACAUGGUGUGUUUGCAGUUGAAAAAUCUUUUAGUGGUCCUUCAACACCCAUACAUGUAAUCAAGAAUAUGUGGGGGCCAGCACAGAAGAUCAUCUGUGAGGUCGACCAGUGUCGUUUGAAUGCUGACUUUGCUCAAAGGAGCGGGAUGUUGCCUUUCGAUUGCCACCACAUCCAAUCAUUGGUGUCACGGUCAAACGGUGACACUCUGUACAUUGUAUCGGGGCCAAUUGUGAUUUCAGAGAGGUAUGCGUAAAUCGUGACACAUUAUGCUUAGUGUACAAGGUGUUAUUUUUUAACAAAACAUAUUAACAUCUUCCUGCAUUUCCUUCUUCAAAGGAAAACAUGCUGGAAAUUAGAGAUGGUGGUGUCUCGCUCUCCUGCAGAACUUCCCUUAGCCGUCUGAAGAAGACCGAUUGCAGGACAGAAAACGGCGACGAGUGCAAGGAGGGCUACAGACGCUGGGAAAUUGACAGAACUGGAAACCGGGAACCGGGUUGCUUGUUAUGGGCCAGAAAAAUACCCUGAUACUUGCCAUUGUUAAACAUUUAUGGAAGCUUAAGGAAUGUAUUUGGCUAGGCUAGGCAAAAAAAAAUAAAAAUCUUUGCAGAUCAAACAUUUUUUGCCUGGGGUGAAAAUAAAAAUCAAUGAUGCAAA